CUAAAGCAUCCGUAGCCGGUACUGCAAGUCUUCCGUUAAAUCCACCUGCUUAACAGUUGGGCUGCGGGGGAUACUACAGCGCUAGGAGGCGGGAGAGGCAAGCGGUACUCAAUGGGUAGGGGUAAAAUCCGCUGAUCCAUUGAAGACCACCAGUGGCGAAGGCGGCUUGCCAGAACGCGCUCGACGGUGAGGGAUGAAAGCUGGGGGAGCAAACCGGAUUAGAUACCCGGGUAGUCCCAGCUGUAAACGUUGGGCGCUAGGUGUGGGAUCCCUUCCACGGGUUCCGUGCCGCAGCUAACGCAUUAAGUGCCCCGCCUGGGGAGUACGGCCGCAAGGUGAAAACUCAAAGGAAUUGACGGGGGCCCGCACAAGCGGCGGAGCAUGUGGAUUAAUUCGAUGCAACGCGAAGAACCUUACCUGGGUUUGACAUACACCGGAAAGCGGUGGAGACACGGCCUCCGCAAGGCCGGUGUACAGGUGGUGCAUGGCUGUCGUCAGCUCGUGUCGUGAGAUGUUGGGUUAAGUCCCGCAACGAGCGCAACCCUCGUCCCAUGUUGCCAGCGGGUGAUGCCGGGGACUCAUGGGAGACUGCCGGGGUCAACUCGGAGGAAGGUGGGGACGACGUCAAGUCAUCAUGCCCCUUAUGUCCAGGGCUUCACACAUGCUACAAUGGCCGGUACAGAGGGCUGCUAAGCCGUGAGGUGGAGCGAAUCCCACAAAGCCGGUCUCAGUUCGGAUCGGGGUCUGCAACUCGACCCCGUGAAGUCGGAGUCGCUAGUAAUCGCA
RNAcentral lists this ribosomal RNA (786 nucleotides) under uncultured Actinomycetes bacterium. RNAcentral describes it as "bacterial SSU rRNA". It matches the Rfam family "Bacterial small subunit ribosomal RNA", at positions 560 to 1346 of the family's 1533-position model. Lineage: Bacteria; Bacillati; Actinomycetota; Actinomycetes. The record is from RNAcentral.